RNAcentral lists this unclassified non-coding RNA (257 nucleotides) under Macrophomina phaseolina. RNAcentral describes it as "partial internal transcribed spacer region". The stretch from base 1 to 46 matches the Rfam family "Eukaryotic small subunit ribosomal RNA", at positions 1786 to 1831 of the family's 1831-position model. Lineage: Eukaryota; Fungi; Ascomycota; Dothideomycetes; Botryosphaeriales; Botryosphaeriaceae. The record is from RNAcentral.
AAGUCGUAACAAGGUUUCCGUAGGUGAACCUGCGGAAGGAUCAUUACCGAGUUGAUUCGGGCUCCGUCCCGAUCCUCCCACCCUUUGUAUACCUACCUCUGUUGCUUUGGCGGGCCGCGGUCUUCCGCGGCCGCCCCCCGAUUUUGGGGGUUGGCUAGUGCCCGCCAGAGGACUAUCAAACUCCAGUCAGUAAACGUUGCAGUCUGAAAAAAAUAUUAAAUAAACUAAAACUUUCAACAACGGAUCUCUUGGUUCUG